This 458-nucleotide ribosomal RNA is filed under the name uncultured bacterium. RNAcentral's name for it is "bacterial SSU rRNA". It matches the Rfam family "Bacterial small subunit ribosomal RNA", at positions 29 to 506 of the family's 1533-position model. The record is from RNAcentral.
AUAAACGCUGGCGGCGUGCCUAAUGCAUGCAAGUCGAACGGUCUAGUUAGCAAUAACUAGGUAGUGGCAAACGGGUGAGUAACACGUGGGGAUCUGCCCAGUAGUGGGGAACAACUCCUCGAAAGAGGAGCUAAUACCGCAUACGGUACUUAUGGAGACAUAGGAUACUAAAGCCAGCAAUGGCGCUAUUGGAGGAACCUGCGGCUGAUUAGCUAGUUGGUGGGGUAAAGGCCUACCAAGGCGAUGAUCAGUAGCUGGUCUGAGAGGAUGGACAGCCACACUGGGACUGAGAUACGGCCCAGACUCCUACGGGAGGCAGCAGCAAGGAAUUUUCGUCAAUGGGGGCAACCCUGAACGAGCAACGCCGCGUGGGCGAAGAAGUCCUUCGGGAUGUAAAGCCCUUUUCCCUUUGAAGAAAGAAAGACGGUAGGAGGGGAAUAAGCAUCGGCUAACUACGU